The sequence is a ribosomal RNA, 1242 nucleotides long. It matches the Rfam family "Microsporidia small subunit ribosomal RNA". The record is from Rfam.
CACCAGGUUGAUUCUGCCUGACGUAGACGCUAUUCCCUAAGAUUGACCCAUGCAUGUCUUUGACGUACUAUGUACUGAAAGAUGGACUGCUCAGUAAUACUCACUUUAUUUGAUGUACAUUAUACAUAACUACGUUAAAGUGUAGCUAACAUAUGUACAGUAAGAGUGAGACCUAUCAGCUAGUUGUUAAGGUAAUGGCUUAACAAGGCAAUAACGGGUAACGGUAUUACUUUGUAAUAUUCCGGAGAAGGAGCCUGAGAGACGGCUACUAAGUCUAAGGAUUGCAGCAGGGGCGAAACUUGACCUAUGGAUAUUAUCUGAGGCAGUUAUGGGAAGUAACAUAGUUGUUUCACAUUUUAAACGUAUGUGAGCAGAUUAAUUGGAGGGCAAAUCGAGUGCCAGCAGCCGCGGUAAUACUUGUUCCAAGAGUGUGUAUGAUGAUUGAUGCAGUUAAAAAGUCCGUAGUUUAUUGUUAAGAAGCAAUAUGAGGUGUACUGUAUAGUUGGGAGAGAGAUGAAAUGUGACGACCCUGACUGGACGAACUGAAGCGAAAGCUGUACACUUGUAUGUAUUUUUUGAACAAGGACGUAAGCUGGAGGAUCGAAGAUGAUUAGAUACCAUUGUAGUUCCAGCAGUAAACUAUGCCGACGAUGUGAUAUGAGAUGUUGUAUUACAUUAUAGAAAUUAGAGUUUUUUGGCUCUGGGGAUAGUAUGAUCGCAAGAUUGAAAAUUAAAGAAAUUGACGGAAGAAUACCACAAGGAGUGGAUUGUGCGGCUUAAUUUGACUCAACGCGAGGUAACUUACCAAUAUUUUAUUGUUCUGCGAGGAUAUGAUCUGAGGAUGAUAAUAGUGGUGCAUGGCCGUUUUCAAUGGAUGCUGUGAAGUUUUGAUUAAUUUCAACAAGACGUGAGACCCUUUAUUAGACUGACACUAUUAGUGUAGGAAGGAAAGGACUAAAACAGGUCAGUUAUGCCCUCUGACAUUUUGGGCAGCACGCGCAAUACAAUAGACUUUAAUCUUUAUGGGAUAAUAUUUUGUAAGAGAUAUUUGAACUUGGAAUUGCUAGUAAAUUUUAUUAAAUAAGUAGAAUUGAAUGUGUCCCUGUUCUUUGUACACACCGCCCGUCGCUAUCUAAGAUGAUAUGUGUUGUGAAAUUAGUGCAAGCUACUUGAACAAUAUGUAUUAGAUCUGAUAUAAGUCGUAACAUGGUUGCUGUUGGAGAACCAUUAGCAGGAUCAUAA